UACGUAGGGACCAAGCGUUGUCCGGAUUUAUUGGGCGUAAAGAGCUCGUGGGGGGCUGUCAACGUCGGGGGUGAAAGCUCGGGGCUCAACCCUGAGAGGCCAUUCGAUACGGGACGGCUUGAGGCAGCUAGGGGAGAUUGGAAUUCCUGGUGUAGCUGUGAAAUGCGCAGAUAUCAGGAGGAACACCUAUGGCGAAAGCAGGCAUCUGGGCCAUCACUGACGCUGAGCUGCGAAAGCUAGGGGAGCAAACAGG
RNAcentral lists this ribosomal RNA (253 nucleotides) under uncultured bacterium. RNAcentral describes it as "partial 16S ribosomal RNA". It matches the Rfam family "Bacterial small subunit ribosomal RNA", at positions 524 to 776 of the family's 1533-position model. The record is from RNAcentral.